Molecule: ribosomal RNA, 1343 nt
Filed under: uncultured bacterium
Lineage: Bacteria
Description: bacterial SSU rRNA
Rfam family: Bacterial small subunit ribosomal RNA
Source: RNAcentral
GACGAACGCUGGCGGCGUGCUUAACACAUGCAAGUCGAACGGAAAGGCCUCUUCGGAGGUACUCGAGUGGCGAACGGGUGAGUAACACGUGGGUGAUCUGCCCUGCACUCUGGGAUAAGCCUGGGAAACUGGGUCUAAUACCGGAUAGGACCAUGCUUUAGUGUGUGUGGUGGAAAGUUUUUUCGGUGUAGGAUGAGCCCGCGGCCUAUCAGCUUGUUGGUGGGGUAAUGGCCUACCAAGGCGGCGACGGGUAGCCGGACUGAGAGGUUGGUCGGCCACAUUGGGACUGAGAUACGGCCCAGACUCCUACGGGAGGCAGCAGUGGGGAAUAUUGCACAAUGGGCGCAAGCCUGAUGCAGCGACGCCGCGUGGGGGAUGACGGCCUUCGGGUUGUAAACUCCUUUCGCCAGGGACGAAGCGUUUUGUGACGGUACCUGGAGAAGAAGCACCGGCUAACUACGUGCCAGCAGCCGCGGUAAUACGUAGGGUGCAAGCGUUGUCCGGAAUUAUUGGGCGUAAAGCGAGCGCAGGCGGUCAAUUGAGUCUGAUGUGAAGGCCCCCGGCUCAACCGGGGAGGGUCAUUGGAAACUGGUUGACUUGAGUGCAGAAGAGGAGAGUGGAAUUCCAUGCGUAGCGGUGAAAUGCGUAGAUAUAUGGAGGAACACCAGUGGCGAAGGCGACUCUCUGGUCUGUAACUGACGCUGAGGCUCGAAAGCGUGGGUAGCAAACAGGAUUAGAUACCCUGGUAGUCCACGCCGUAAACGAUGAGUGCUAAGUGUUGGAGGGUUUCCACCCUUCAGUGCUGCAGUUAACGCAUUAAGCACUCCGCCUGGGGAGUACGACCGCAAGGUUGAAACUCAAAGGAAUUGACGGGGACCCGCACAAGCGGUGGAGCAUGUGGUUUAAUUCGAAGCAACGCGAAGAGCCUUACCAAGUCUUGACAUACUGUGAGGACACAAGAGAUUGUGUUGUUCUGACCUUUGGUUAGACACAGAUACAGGUGGUGCAUGGUUGUCGUCAGCUCGUGUCGUGAGAUGUUGGGUUAAGUCCCGCAACGAGCGCAACCCUUAUAUCUAGUUGCCAGCAGUAAGAUGGGGACUCCAGAUAGACUGCCAGUGAUAAACUGGAGGAAGGUGGGGAUGACGUCAAAUCAUCAUGCCCCUUAUGACUCGGGCUACACACGUGCUACAAUGGAUAGGAACAAAGAGAAGCGAACUCGCGAGAGUAAGCAAACCUCACAAAACUAUUCUCAGUUCGGAUUGUAGUCUGCAACUCGACUACAUGAAGCUGGAAUCGCUAGUAAUCGCGAAUCAGAAUGUCGCGGUGAAUACGUUCCCGGGUCU